CCUACGGGUGGCAGCAGUCGAGAAUCAUUCACAAUGGGGGAAACCCUGAUGGUGCGACGCCGCGUGGGGGAAUGAAGGUCUUCGGAUUGUAAACCCCUGUCAUGUGGGAGCAAAUUAAAAAGAUAGUACCACAAGAGGAAGAGACGGCUAACUCUGUGCCAGCAGCCGCGGUAAUACAGAGGUCUCAAGCGUUGUUCGGAAUCACUGGGCGUAAAGCGUGCGUAGGCUGUUUCGUAAGUCGUGUGUGAAAGGUGCGGGCUCAACCCGCGGACGGCACAUGAUACUGCGAGACUAGAGUAAUGGAGGGGGAACCGGAAUUCUCGGUGUAGCAGUGAAAUGCGUAGAGAUCGAGAGGAACACUCGUGGCGAAGGCGGGUUCCUGGACAUUAACUGACGCUGAGGCACGAAGGCCAGGGGAGCGAAAGGGAUUAGAUACCCCUGUAGUC
RNAcentral lists this ribosomal RNA (446 nucleotides) under uncultured bacterium. RNAcentral describes it as "partial 16S ribosomal RNA". It matches the Rfam family "Bacterial small subunit ribosomal RNA", at positions 338 to 795 of the family's 1533-position model. The record is from RNAcentral.